CCCUGGCAGUCAGAGGCGAUGAAGGGCGUGCUAAUCUGCGAUAAGCGCCGGUAAGGUGAUAUGAACCGUUAUAACCGGCGAUACCCGAAUGGGGAAACCCAGUGUGACUCGUCACACUAUCAUUAACUGAAUCCAUAGGUUAAUGAGGCGAACCGGGGGAACUGAAACAUCUAAGUACCCCGAGGAAAAGAAAUCAACCGAGAUUCCCCCAGUAGCGGCGAGCGAACGGGGAGGAGCCCAGAGCCUGAAUCAGCAUGUGUGUUAGUGGAAGCGUCUGGAAAGGCGCGCGAUACAGGGUGACA
Molecule: ribosomal RNA, 302 nt
Filed under: Salmonella enterica subsp. enterica
Lineage: Bacteria; Pseudomonadati; Pseudomonadota; Gammaproteobacteria; Enterobacterales; Enterobacteriaceae
Also listed under: 1 other name
Description: partial 23S ribosomal RNA
Rfam family: Bacterial large subunit ribosomal RNA
Source: RNAcentral